RNAcentral lists this long non-coding RNA (11012 nucleotides) under Manihot esculenta (cassava). Its description in RNAcentral is "long non-coding RNA (MESC_LNC002455)". Lineage: Eukaryota; Viridiplantae; Streptophyta; Magnoliopsida; Malpighiales; Euphorbiaceae. The record is from RNAcentral.
GCCAUCAAAUUCUGCAUAUCUAAAAACAGCUGCCAAAGUAUCCGGUUCGCAAAAACAUAACCUUAGCAGGAUACUACCUGAGUGGGCGUGCAUUUUGGCCAGAGUCAAAACUAUGUAAAACUGCCAAUAAUUACAUCAAUCAUCCAGGUAAUAAUAUGACCCAGCAGACUUCUGCUCUCUAUCCUUGGUAGAGUCUAACUUGUUGAUUCUCGGUCGAUAAUUCGUUGGGUCCCGCCUAAAAGUGAUAUCUAGAUGCUGCAACAGGUGAAGCAAAAUCAAAUUCUCAGUGGAAAGAAAUCAUAAAUACCAACUAAAAUUUAAAUAGUACAGUGUAUGACAAAUGACUUGAGCAGAACUGAGCUAUUGAGACAAGCUUCAUUGAAGUUCACAAUAAGCAAAACCACUACAUGGCUCAAAAAGCAGAGAGCCUCCAAGCAAGGUGAAAUUUUCAAAAGCUUAUGUCCAAAAUUGGACUAAUGAAAAAUAAAACAAUUCAGUUGGUUUUUUUCUUGAACUUAAUCUUUCUUAAUUCUCUUUAAAACAUGAACAAUUAGUACUUACUGAUAAGAAGAGAUUCAUUCCAGUCAACAAUGACUGAGGCGAAUUUGCUGUACAGUCCACAGAUGGCCUUCCCUCGUAUACGAUAACUCUGUCAGCCAGGUAAGUUGCCAUUAUAAAAUCAUGCUCUACCACAAAUGCAGUUUUCUUCGCAUGAAGGAUAAACCUCUUUAUGACUUUUGAAGCCACAAUACGCUGCUCAGAAUCAAGAUAAGCACUUGGUUCAUCUAUCAGAUAAAUAUCUGCAGGCUGCAUCAAGGACAGUACACCAUGCAUCAGAAUCCAUUAAAUAUAAAAAACCUAAAAUCUUUGAAAAUUAAUAUUAAAAUCAAGCUGCCUGGCUCUAGUCACAAUUUAGAAGUCACUUUUCUGUUCCCUAAUGAACCCACAAAAAGAACUGAAAAGCACUGCACCACUCACACACCCCAAGUGAAAAGAAAAAAAAAUUCUAGCCAUGACUGGUGCCACAUGACUAGUUUCAUUUACACACCAAUCUGUGUUUUAGCUACUGUUUUAUAUUCAAAUCAUUGAUACUCGCUGCAUAAAUCAAGAAUCAACCACAAACUACUGAAACAGGAAAGAAGUAAAGUAGAACCCCUGAAAGAAAUUUCAGGGACUGUUUGCAGCUUAGGUUCUUCACAUGUUCAAAAAAGCAUCCCUGGAGUCACCAGGUAUAGACCUGCAGUCUUCCCCCGUGUUGUCAAAUGAGGACAGUGUUUCCUGUCUUAGGUCUUGAGUCUUCCAUCAGGCUUUUCUGUGAAUUUUAGGGAGCUUUGGUACUUGGUAAGUCCUAAUUUUACUCCAGCGCCUCAAAUCUUCAAAUAUCAAUAUCCAUCAGCUGGUUCUAGUUACAAUUACAGGAAUGCUGCUAACAUACUCAUGUUACUGCUUUUUGUGAACCCCCCCACCCCCCAAAAAAAUAAAAUAAAAUAAAAUAAAAAGAAAAAUUGAAAAGCACUAGCACUACAUUCCAUAUAGCAGACCCCAAGUAGUUUAGAAUUAAGGUUCAGUUGCUAUUCUUGUACCUAAAGCUAAAAGUCCAUCUCAACAAAGUAAAAGAAAUUCAAUCAACCUAUACAAAUGAACUCAUCAACCUCCCAUGAAACCCUCAAACCACCCUUCAAGUGAUUCUUCAACAAUUUUUGCAAAAGCCAUUCCAUCCAUCAGUUCAAUUAUACAAGAGCAAUAGAACCAACCACAAAACAGAUUAUAGAAUCAAGUGAAAUGAAUUAAAAGUUAAAAUAUCACCAAAGAGUCAGUUGUAUAUUCAUUACACCAAAAUGAGUUACUGAAUUACAAAUAAGUUAAAGUGAUCACCUUCCCAAGACAGAGGCACAAAGCAACUCUUUGCAACUCCCCACCGGAUAGAUUCACUACUUCUUGAUCCAUUAGUUGUUCUAUAAGAAGUGGUUUCAUGACAUCUGAUACAAACUGAGGAUGUGUAUAAGAAUCACGAAUUUUUUGAUGUAGCAAAUGUCUAACAGUAGAUUGGAACUUAGGACUGAUCUUCUGGGGCUUGUAAGAAACAUUAAACUCAGGUAUCUCCACAUCAGAAUCUUCUAUAGUAUCAGGUUUCAAUAAGCCAGCCUGUAUAUUUGGCCAAGAAUAUAAAUUGUUCAACAAAUGCCAGAUUUCAUGGCAAAAGAAUGUUCUGUAAAAUUAUUUGCAGAAAGAUGUACCAGCAUACGAAUAAAUGUUGUCUUCCCCGUCCCAUUCUCGCCCAGCAUAACAAUUAUCUGAGAAUCUGUAAAUUCACCCUCAAUCACACGAAGCUUGAAGUUGCCCUGAGUUUUAGUCAUGGUUGGAUAUUUGUAGCGUGCAUAUGUUUCUAUCUCCUCAGCACUCUCUUGCGGAGUCUCAGCAACCUAUAAAAGGCAACUAGUUUGGUAUCAAGCAGGGAGGGAGGGAGCAAGCGAUAGAAUGUAUCUUUGUGUAGAUGCAAAAACAUAGCAAAACUACCUUGAAGGUUAAUGACUCAUCCCGGAAUCGAAGAUUUUCUGUGGGAACAAAUCCAGCCAAGAAUAUAUUAAUCCCUUCCCUGACAGAGAAGGGAAGGGUUACAACUCCAUAUGCACCCGGUUUCCCAUAUAAGCAGCAAAUGAAGUCUGAUAAAUAAUCGAGGACACUAAGGUCAUGCUCCACCACAAUAACAUAGCUGAAACAAAAUUGAAACAAAUGCAAUUAAGUUUUAAGUGUCAAAAUGAAAAAAAAAAAAAAUUUGAAAACAGAUGAAAGAAGUUUAAACCUAUUAGGCCUGAGCAAAGAUCUGAUAACUUGGGCAGCUUUAAGCCUCUGUUUGACAUCAAGAUAACUUGAAGGUUCGUCAAACAUAUAUAUCUCUGCAUUCUGUAUUGCAACGACAGCAAUAGCAAAACGCUGGAGCUCCCCACCAGACAGAUCCCCCACAUUACGAUCUAUAACCUGGUUCAGCUCAAGAUCAUCACAGAGUUCUGCUUUCAUCUCUCUCUCAUCUUUUUGGUCGAGCACCUGCCCUACAUUACCUUGGACUGCUUUUGGAAUGUGGUCAACAUACUGAGGCUUUAUGAUGGCCUGUAGAAUAUGAAAUUGUCUUAGCAAGAAAGAUUUAGAUGAAUGUGAGUGAAUCAUGCAUUGUUCACAAGAUUACAUAUUUAAUAUUUUUCCUCUCUAUUCCUACCAUGGUAAGUAGAAAAGUACAUUACAAAAAGAGAAGUGUAAGGAACACAAACUUUAAUAUAGCAAGCCAAAACAAAGUCUUCUUAUGCGAACCCAGAAUUUCUUGUAAAAGGGAAAAAAAGAUUAAGGAAUAAACAUCUCAGGGUAAAAAUUGAAUAUGAAAACAACAAUUACACAUGGAAGGAAAUAAUGCUUCAUUCACAUCCAAACAGAUGCAUCACAGAACUUCAGGAACUGAAAAGACAAAACACAAGAGGGUAAGAAUCCAAAUUACAAGAUAAUUUGCAUUAAAUCUGUGAAAUAAGUUCACAGUUUGGUGGAGAAAUAGGAGGGAAAGAAAAUCACAGAAAUUGGAGGAAGAUGGAAUGAAUUUCUCUUAUUUGAACGAGUAUGGGUUAGCAUUAUUAGAUUUAAACCAACAAACUGAAUCAGAUUCACACAUGUUUGGUUUUUCAGUUCAGUUGUUUAUUUUUACAAUUUGCUUUUCCAAGUAUAUUUUCAUUAUUUCCAUUAGGUUAUGUUUUUACAAUUAAAAGUUGAAUCAAUCAGACCAACUGAAUAUGUAUCAUUUAAUAAAAACUGAAACUGGUGCAGAUGUUCAGUUUGGUUUCGCUUCUAAGAAGUUUCAAUUUAUUCAGUUUUGUUAAAUUCCAAACUGAAUCACAAUAAUAUCUCUUACUUUUGACAGAUAACAUUUAACGGGAGGAUAAUUUAGUAGUUAUAUUGAGCUUCUCUUCACUUCUACCAAAAUUUGGGGUAGAAAGUUUUGUGGAUCCCACAGGAGCAUUGUAAGUGCAUAACUUUUCUUCAUGUAUUUUCCAUCUCUUCCAAACAAGUUAUCAUUUUAUCCUCCCCUUCUUCCUCUCCCCGCUUUUAUUCCUUCCCAAAUAUAGUGUUAACAAUUAUGAUUAUCCCAUUUGAGAUUGUUAAGCUUCUCUUCACUUUUACCCUAAUUUGGGGUAGAAAGUUUUGUGGGCCCUACGUGCAAGUAUAUUUUCAUCAUUUCCAUUAGGUUAUGUUUUUACAAUUAAAAUUUGAAUCAAUCAGACCAACUGAAUAUGUAUCAUUUAAUAAAAACUGAAACUGGUGCAGAUGUUCAGUUUGGUUUCCCUUCUAAGAAGUUUCAAUUUAUUCAGUUUUGUUAAAUUCCAAACUGAAUCACAAUAAUAUCUCUUACUUUUGACAGAUAACAUUUAACGGGAGGAUAAUUUAGUAGUUAUAUUGAGCUUCUCUUCACUUCUACCAAAAUUUGGGGUAGAAAGUUUGGUGGAUCCCACAGGAGUAUUGUAAGUGCAUAACUUUUCCUCAUGUAUUUUCCAUCUCUUCCAAACAAGUUAUGAUUUUAUCCUCCCCUUCUUCCUCUCCCCUCUUUUAUUCCUUCCCAAAUAUAGUGUUAACAAUUAUGAUUAUCCCGUUUGAGAUUGUUAAGCUUCUCUUCACUUUUACCCUAAUUUGGGGUAGAAAGUUUUGUGGGCCCUAUGUGCAUAACUUUCCCUCAUUCUUUUCCCUCUCUUCCAAACAAGUUAUUGUUUUAUCCUCCCCCUGUUCCUCUUCCCACUUUUAUCCCUCCCCAAAUAUAGUCUUACAGUUAUCCCAUUUGAGAUUAUCUUCAAUGGAAAUUGAAAUUAAAAAGGACUACUGGAAUACCACAAAGCAUAGUAAUUCAUGGAACAAAACCCCAAAAUAUAAUGCAAUAUGAAGGCAUGCAAUUGAACAAUAUAAAAGGACUUAGGUCCAGCAAUAAAUGACUGCAUUCCACAUCAAAUAAGCAAUUGUAGUAGUGAAGAAAUAAAAAAAGUGAACAUCAUUGAUUGAAGAAUUCUGUCAUGUGCAAAUUAGAUAACACAUGUAAAUCAAAUUUUGAACCAAUGUUAUGUCAUAUCAUAAACAGUCAGUCAUCACCACACUCAAAUCUGCGCAGAAUAGUUAAAACUACAGUCAUUUAAUACAGCUAUUAAAAAAUUUGAAGUGACAGCCAGGAGAGUUAAGUGGAAGAAAAACAUGAAAGGAUGAAACUUAAGUACUUCAUAAGAUAGAACAAUAUCAAAUAUUUAAUACAAGUCCAAGACCAUGUUGAAAUGGAAAAGUACCUUCAAAUUAUCUUCCAGGAUACGGGUAAAAUAAUUUUGCAAUUCAGAUCCUCGAAAGUAGGUUAAGAUUUCCUGCCAAUCUGGAGGAUUCUGAAAAUAGAAAAGAAUAAUGCAAAGAGGUUAACAGAAAUAUGAAUCCAUCAUAUAGCAAUGAUAGGAAUUAUACAUAAAGAUAGUACAUUGAAACGACCCAAAUUUGGUUUCAGUUUUCCAGCCAAAACUUUGAGGGCAGUUGACUUGCCAAUGCCAUUUGUUCCAACUAAUCCAAGAACUUGCCCAGGCCUAGGAACUGGUAACCUGCAAUUGUGAUGUUCUGAUAUGUCAAAGGGCAUAAAACAUGAUUCUAGCUGCUUCUUUUUUGAAAGCCAAAUUAUCAUUUGAUGUCCAAAUUCCAAUACAAGAAGGCGGCGAUUAUUUGCAAAAGAACAAAAGGAUUUAAAAGACACUAUGCACCCACAAGAGAAUAGAGGCCCUAGUUCCUACCUAAUCCAAGGUAAUUGUGGGAGAGGGUCUUUUGUUUGGCUUCCCUACUAUUCAUAUAGUUAUGCCCUUCCAAACCAAUGCUUUUUCAUGACCAGAAACUAUCAUCAUGUUUCCUUCCACCUUACACAUAAAACUUGAUGUGUGCAUCUCCAACCCUAAGACUGGCACUGUAAAAAGAUGAGGAUCUUUUAUCCCCUCCCCCUCCCUUAACAAUUAUUAAUAUUAAUCCAUUAAUCCAUGCAAGCAUAAACUGACCUGUGCAAUUUAAAGGUGUUAGGACCAUAACGGUGAGUUGUAUCUUUAUCCAAAUCCUUUGGCAAAUUGAUAAUCUGAAUUGCUUCAAAUGGGCAUUUCUGCAUCAACAGAUCCAAAAAUAGUCAGUUUUGCACAAAUCCAUAAACAAAAUGAAAAACAAAAUGAAAAACAAAGACCAAGGGUCCCUACUUGAAUUUACCAACCUUAACACAAAUACCACACCCAAUGCACAACUCCUCAGAGAUAAAAGCUAUCUUAGAUGCAGGAGUAACCUCAAUACAUAAUUUCCCUGUGGAAAAAAUGUGUGAAACAGUAAGAAGAAAGACAUAUGGAUUACUAAUCUAUUGCAAAGAUCAUUAACAAAGACAACUCAAACCAAGAGAAGGAUGACAGUGAUCUCUACUCUUUGAGAUCCAACAUACACCAAGCAAGGGGCAGAAUGGAUAAAGUGAGAUCCACUCCUCGCACAAAUCAUUCCAAUUCAUAUAGUCUUCCCACUCCAGAGAACUCCAUUUGAGGUAAACAUAUAGUGAAUAUGCCAGCAGAAACCUAGUUAGCUAAAGUUUAAUUGAGCUAAGUACAAGGCUAGCUAUGAAAAUAGAAUUAUGUUAACAACAUCUGAGUUAGUAGUAAGGAAACACUUACAAAACAAACAAAAAAGUUACCUAUAUAAUGAAAGAAUCAGGUGCAGAGCACUCCAAGUUUCCAACAAAGGAGCUUUAGACAAAAUUUAUGUUAAAUUCUGUUUUGAACGCAAAAACAACAAGUGGAGACAUUGCCAAUCACCAAUCAAAGGGCCAAAGCUGUUCAAGUAUUGCAUUGAGUAAUGCACACAAUUAUUACAGAGAAAAGAUCUGGGAUACUGAUUUAAAAAGUGAACUAGAGACCAUGGAACAAACUCUGAUUGACUAAGCCGAUCAUCAAACCAAAAAAAAAAGGUAAAUAAGUAUAAGAAUAUCAUUGAGAAAAAAAAGCUACCAGUUUUGACAACAGGACAACUCUUUUUGCAUUCUUGACGGCACUUCUUAGGCUUGCAUCUAUCAGAGCUCACAAUUGCUAUACGCGUCAACCUGUCUGCCAUCCCUCCCCGUUCUUUCUUUUACCUGCCGAAUAUGUUCACGAAUACAUAACCAGUGAAAAUUAAAAUAAAGCAUUACAUGCCGAAUAUAAUGAUCUAACGAUUCAUUCGUUAUUGUUAACAAUAGAUUGCAAAUAAGCUGAACUAAUCAGAGCUCAGAUCAAUAAAAUCCAACGCCUUUGUAAGCAGACGAACUACCUCCAAGUACUAAGGUAGGAAAGAAAUUCUGGACGUAGGAUGACAUAUCUAACAAAACCUGAUCAGAACAUCUAAUGAAGAAAUCAUGAUGUUUAGCAGGAAUUCGAACAUCUAAAAACCAGCAUCACAAUCUAUGGCUUGAAUUUUCUACACUUUCGGUGCCAACAUCUAUAAACAAAUGAAAAGCAUGGGCCAAGUAAUAAAUCUCAAGCUUUAAUUGGAAAGCUCACCUCAAACACACAACAGCGACGGCGAUGUGGAUAAGCUAGUUAGGCAGAGGAUUUGACAGUAUUUUGGGCCACUUGCCUGCUCGAGUUCAACUUCAACGGGCACGGCGAUGGCUCGAAGUGGUGAACGGCAGCUGCGCGACAGUUACCGAAAGCGGCAAAGGUGAACAACAAUGGCGUUGGUGGAAUCACAGCGGUGCGGCAGCGGCAGCGGCAGCGGCAACUGAAGGACUUAGGGUUUGUAGGAGGAACCGUGAAAUAGAAGAGAGUAACUGUUUUUUAUUAAACGACAACGACAGUUCUAAAGCGGGGGAUCUGAACCUUAAUUUGCAUAAACGGUGUAGCAUGAAUUACAGUAUUUUAGUUACAUGUAUUUUCGCAGUUUUACAAUCUACUUCACAACGUAACUUCCGUUAUAUUUUAACAUCUGAAUUUUUAGGCCGUUAACACAUUAGGGAUACAUUUACUAAUGUUGUUAAGAUAGGGUGAGGGGCACAUGUCUCAUAAUCGUCACUUCUAAUGUGAUAUAAUAAUAUUAUUUAUCAUAUUAAUCGGUUGAUAUUAUUAUCACAUUAUUAAUAUUUUUUAUAAUUUAAAUAUAAACUCUUAAAUUACAAAUAAAAUAAAAUUUUAUACUAUUCAUAAUAAAAGUAUAAAACUUUUAAAAUGAAUGAGAAAAAAAAUAAAACAAAAAGAAAAUGACGGUACAGAAAAUUUAUCAUGUCUCAUUCUUCUUUAUCUCACUUUACUUUCUCUCUCUCCUUUUUCUUAUUUUUUCCAUACAUUUUGAAAAUUUUAAAUUUAUAUCGUUAAGGGUUGAACUUUAUUUUAUUUAUAAUUUAAAAUUUUAUAUUUUUAAAUUCUUGUAUUUAGAUUAUAAAAUGAUAAACGAAUAAUAUGAUCAUAAUAUUAAUAUAUUAUGUUUAAUAUGGCAAAAUGACAUAAUAUAUCACAUCAACAUAACAAUGAUGUUGACAUUCACGUCAACAUAUCUAAUAUCAUUAGCAUUUAUAUUUUCAAAAUGAUAAUUGUACAAAAGUUCAAACAAAAAAUUAAAAAAAAAUACUUUAGCCUUUAAAAUGCAAAAGUCUAAAAGUAAAUGUUAUUAAAAUAUAUUUUUUUCUUAAAAAAUAAUUAAGAAGCAACCAUCACCUAAUAAGUAGGUUGCCGGAUACAUUUAGAAAAUUUUGGCGAUUAGAGUUCGAUUUUCCUUUCUCUUUUCAGAUAUCUAUAAAAUCAAUAAAUUUUCUCUCUUAAACUACUAAAUUUGAGUGUGUGAUUUUAUUAUUGAAAUUGUUAUUGAGUUUUCUCUUUCUAAACUUUUUGGGAAAAUUCUCUCUCGGAUAUUUUUUUGUCACUUAUAGCACUUUUGGUUCUCUUUGCCUCUUUAAGUAAGCAAAUCUCUCCUUUCUAAGUCGACCAUAUGUUUGUGCUCCUUACUUUCACAUUAAGUGUAGAUAAUUUAUCAUUUUGAUUUGGUUUAUUGCAUUUGAGUUUUCAUGUGAGGAUUCCUUUUCAUUACUUGUUAAUUUUCUCUUUUUGUAUUUAUUGUAUUUUUUGCUGUCCACCUCUUCUUGCCUUUUUUUUUUUUGGAUUGUUUUCUAAUCUUGACUAGCAGUGAUAACUUGUGCAAAUGAAAAAAGUUUUAUGAUCUGUCGCGGAGCUACCAUAAGUACUGAUGACCGCCGGACUUCCUGCACCUAAAGCAAGGCCAAGCCUUAAAGAAUGAUGCAGGUCCAAGGCCCACCAAGCCUUUCUCAAAGUCAACCAGCCCCACACAACGCGGCCCAGCCUGACAAUGAGAAGCAGGCCGGACAAGUCACACGCGCGGGCUCAUCUAAAGGGAGUCUAGUCAGGUGACGUGACAAGAAGUAGAAGAGUAGGCCCAAUCACCUCGCAGCCCUACCCGCAUGCGUGCCGAGGAAAAGUAAAUGGCCGCCUGACAUGGAAAGGAGUCCUGACACAUCCGUGCAUAUGGAGCUGAGUGAUAGAGACAGCUAGCAUUGUAGUAGAGAAGUAGAUAUACAUCACGAGCAAAUGGAAAGAGGGGAACUUCUUUCUCGGCUCCAUAUUUUUUAUUUUUCUCUGCAACUAUUGUCUAUCCAUACUAUACUAGUUCAUGAACCUAACCUAAAGUUGGAGGGUCUCCAUCGGGGCAUCCCCAGUAAACCCCUGACCAUCUUUCUUUAUUUUGCAGGUCAUUUCAUCAAAUCAAAUAUUGAGGGACCCAUACGAUGGAACAAGAAAAAAAUCAAAUCUAUCAUGAAAUAAGAAAAAAUCCAUAUUUAUCAAGUACUAUCACGGUUGCCGAAGACGAAAUCAAAUUUAAAAAAGAAUAAAAGAAUAAACGAGCAGUUAUGGAUAGACAUGUGUCUAACAAAACGUAAUUAUUGUAUGUUAAUUACUCUGGAUUCCAUUUCAUAUUAUAAUUUUUUUUGAAGAGUCCAUUUAAUAUUACAUACCAAUAAAACUUUUGAGUAUUGAUAAAUUUAAAAAUUCUACACCCUAAAAAGAACCUUUGAAUUUAAGGAAAGCACAUAUUUUUUUGGUUAACAAGGAAAGCACAUAAUAGAAAUAAAGAGUUCAAUUUUCAAAAUAAAGAGAUCAAAUGAUAAUAUGUAACAGACUAAGAAUACGAUUAACCACAUACCAAGUACUAUCCAUCCCUACCCAUUUUACAUAAUCGAGUUGAAUUCACGCCCAAAAAUUCUAUCAAAGCGGGGCGCUAAAAUUGCUGGUUAAAUCUCGAUGCCCAGAUGUGGAAGAAUCUAACAACUGAAUUUUAUUAUUAAGGUGAUGAUUACGACUUCCCUUUCUUUUUACAAUGCAGCGAAGGAACGGCAAAAUAAUUAGUAGCAGCAUAAAAAUCGAGGAAAAGAAUUAAGAUGUCAUCAACGUAACAUUAACUUCAAAAAUGACUCAAGCAUUUAACAUCAUCUUUUUCUUCCCUUUGAUUUUUUAUGGAAAUCUUGUCAAAUGCAAACCUCAAGUACAAUGGAUAAAAAUAUGAUGACGCUCACUUUUGUCAAAAACUGGAGAAUAGAAAACAUGGCAAAAUAAAUAGACGUUUAUUUCUUCAACAGCCGGAAGACAUCCAUUCAUUUGUCAACUAUUAGAACAACUCGGCCUAGAUGCAAAACUAAUCAGAAUGAUGCCAUCAAAUUCUGCAUAUCUAAAAACAGCAAAUCAAAUGAAAACCUUUGCCAACGUCUCUGGUUAGCAAAAACGUAAGCAUAUCUCAGGAUACUACCUGAGAGGGCGUGCAUUUUGGCCAGAGUCAAAACUAUGUAAAACUGCCAAUAAUUACAUCAAUCAUCCAGGUAAUAAUAUGACCCAGCAGACUUCUGCUCUCUAUCCUUGGUAGAGUCUAACUUGUUGAUUCUUGGUCGAUAAUUGGUUGGGUCCCGCCUAAAAGUGAUAUCUAGAUGCUGCAAAAGGUGAAGCAAAAUCAAAUUGUCAGUAGAAAGA